AUAUAUACGCAGUACAUAUACUCAAUAGGAAGGAUACCGAGAAGAUUAGCAUGGCCCCUGCGCAAGGAUGACACGCACAUUUGUAAAGCGUACCAGAUGUUU
Non-coding RNA from Biomphalaria glabrata, 102 nucleotides. NCBI's taxonomy places the organism in Eukaryota, Metazoa, Mollusca, Gastropoda, Planorbidae. The record is from Rfam.